GACGAACGCUGGCGGCGUGCUUAACACAUGCAAGUCGAACGGAAAGGCCCUGCUUUUGUGGGGUGCUCGAGUGGCGAACGGGUGAGUAACACGUGAGUAACCUGCCCUUGACUUUGGGAUAACUUCAGGAAACUGGGGCUAAUACCGGAUAGGAGCUCCUGCUGCAUGGUGGGGGUUGGAAAGUUUCGGCGGUUGUGGAUGGACUCGCGGCUUAUCAGCUUGUUGGUGGGGUUGUGGCUUACCAAGGCUUUGACGGGUAGCCGGCCUGAGGGGGUGACCGGCCACAUUGGGACUGCGAGACGGAGCAGACUCCUACGGGAGGCAGCAGUGGGGAAUAUGGCACAAUGGGCGGAAGUCUGAUGCAGCAACGCCGCGUGCGGGAUGACGGCCUUCGGGUUGUAAACCGCUUUCGCCUGUGACGAAGCGUGAGUGACGGUAAUGGGUAAAGAAGCACCGGCUAACUACGUG
RNAcentral lists this ribosomal RNA (468 nucleotides) under uncultured bacterium. RNAcentral's name for it is "partial 16S ribosomal RNA". It matches the Rfam family "Bacterial small subunit ribosomal RNA", at positions 28 to 507 of the family's 1533-position model. The record is from RNAcentral.